AACCCAAUACCGCGCUGUAAAUAAACCAGUGACAGUACGAACAUGCGACCUGGGCACUGUGGGCCGCUCCACACUCUUUGUGUCAGUUUCAAUUGGUGUUGUUUUCAUUUAUGGCGGUUUGUUUACAUUUCGUUGCGGUUAUCAUCAGGUUUCCGUGGUUCGAUAUUCGGUCGAGCUUUCUUUUCGUCAACCUCAUCGUGACGAUCGUGGUGCUCGGUGGACUGUUGGCAACGAUCGAAAAGCAUCUCCCCACUGCCAUCCGGCAGACGUUUGCUGCCCUCUGGUCGGUGGCCGGAUUUGCCGUCAUGAUGUAGCCAGCGCGGGACUACGUAAUCGCCUUCCUCGAUACGUUGGCAACCAACAAGCAUAUGGUGCGCACCACACCUACCGAGACGAUGGUUGCCAUGACGCUGAUCACGCUGCAGUAUUUGCGCCGGUUCCACAAGACCUGGUUCGUGCAGGUGUUCUCGAGCAAGCUGAAAAUCACCCACCAGUGGUUGCUGGUUCCCGGCUGAUGGGAUUCAGCUGGUUUUCCUGGAUCGUCUGUGAAUGCCUUGUUCCACGGACCGGUCGUCGAUGCACUCGAGGUGCACCGCAUUGACGAGCGGCAGUAGCAGGAUUCAAUCGGCGCGGCCGAGCUGGCAGCGAAGCCGUUUCUCGGUGAGCCAUUCACGCCGAAUGAGGGCGGUCAAGAGCCGGCUGCAUACGUUCGAUUCGUUCGAUUCGAUAUUCGUUACGCGCACGAUUAAACUGUGUAACGAUGCCGAGUGUGUCCGGCCAUCGCGACUAGCAGCACAGCGGAAGUUAAGUUGCGUCGUCUAUUGUGGUGCGAUGCGCUGUAUGUUCCGGGUGUGCGAUUGAGCUUCAUGUUUGUUUCUUUUUUGUUCACAGACACCUUUUCAUCAACAACUAGCAUGACUAUCGGCGCACGGUCGGUGGCUCUAGCGAAGGGGAGGGUGCGUUCCAAUCGGCUGGCAGGACACAGAUCGGAUCGGUUAGGACAGCGAUCGGCAUAGUACGGCUCGCGACCCGCAUGUGGCUAUUUGUUGACUAGAUGCCUCUUCAAGUGCAAAUCUACGAACAUGUUUAGAAGACUUGGCUCUUUCGGUCGCAACGUUUGCCGAGUUGCUGGGGAUAUUGGAUUGUAAGGAAUGAAUAUACUGUCUGCAGGAACCAGAUGAUGAUAUCACCAAGGAGCUACUGCGCUAAAGCUUAUCAGGAGGAGGCGAGAAUGGUUUGACUUUGGCACAGCUCCCACGUAUCAUCCAUACCACACCAAAUCAUUAUGGCGCAGCCGUGAAUAUGUACAACGUCAUCCUGCUCGGGUUGGAUGGUGACGGUCUCCCGCUCGGUAUAUCUUGACGGCAGUAUAACGCAAGGCAAGUAUACAUAUAGUUUCAGUACGUUUAAUAAGUAUAAAGAAUGCUAAUAUUUUUGUUUCUUAUUCAAAUUUUCAGAUUCAAAUGAACAAUAUACAAGGUGCACUAAACAUACACUGGACUCUGUUUGGAACGGGUCUAGUAAAAGUAUUUGUUAGUGGUGCGUGCAUAUUAUUAUGUGCACCUAUUUUAAUGUUCCUAUCUUGUUACCGAUCGAACCGACCAAACCCAGUAGAAUAAAAAAUAUGAUUACAUUACAU
Anopheles gambiae (African malaria mosquito) is the source of this 1639-nucleotide long non-coding RNA. RefSeq lists it as uncharacterized. Lineage: Eukaryota; Metazoa; Arthropoda; Insecta; Diptera; Culicidae. The transcript is spliced from 3 exons. The record is from RefSeq and is a predicted model, not a curated record.